CCAUCAGGAUUCUAAUGCAGUGUUAAUGGGGUCUUUCAGAAAUCAUGAAGAUAAGUUUCGUGAGUGACACAACUGGAGCCAUUAGCAAACUCAUCCAAGAGGAAUCAUCCAUUAGAGGCUAGUGCCUGCACCAUCUCAGUGCAGAGGAGCAUGAGGAGCGGCACAAGCAUUCUGUUUGUGACCACUGCAGAGAGACACCUACAAAUAGCUUCUGAACUGCCACACUUUCCUCCUGCAGGCACUCAGCCCUCAGGUGUGUUUGUCACCUUCAGCAACAGAUGAAGCAGACAGUGACUCCACCAGCAUGAGUAUGCAAGAAGUCAUCUGCUCUACAACCAGUGCUGCUCCAGCAGAUCGCAAGUAGAGAGAAGACAGUUGGACAAGCAAGGACAGUGGGAGAGUGGCUGGGGAGUAGGCACUGCAGGAGAGUGGACAUGAGCCCUGGAGGCAAUGCUGAGAUGGCACCAGCAGCUCAGGAGAGUCUCAGGCUGCUCUGGCACAGGAGGAAAACAAUGAACAAUGAAUUUCUUCUUUCCAGGAAGAAACCUGGGAGGUUUUUUUCUGCUCUGUUGAAUAUGGGAUUAUAAAUUUUUUUUUUAUUGCAUAUAGAGCAUCUCUUUCAAAUGGAUAACUUCUGAACCUGGAACUUUUCAUUACCAACUU
Molecule: long non-coding RNA, 663 nt
Filed under: Taeniopygia guttata (zebra finch)
Lineage: Eukaryota; Metazoa; Chordata; Aves; Passeriformes; Estrildidae
Description: lncRNA (ENSTGUG00000026098.1)
Source: RNAcentral